AGUGCCUGUGGAGCUCUGCCCUCUACCAGUACUUCGGUACUGGCAUGGUAGAGCUGUGAAGCAGGAAGCUCCCUCCU
RNAcentral lists this non-coding RNA (77 nucleotides) under Saccharolobus solfataricus. Lineage: Archaea; Thermoproteati; Thermoproteota; Thermoprotei; Sulfolobales; Sulfolobaceae. The record is from RNAcentral.